CCUACGGGUGGCAGCAGUGGGGAAUAUUGCGCAAUGGGCGAAAGCCUGACGCAGCGACGCCGCGUGAGGGAUGAAGGUCUUCGGAUCGUAAACCUCUGUCAGCAGGGAAGAACGGUCACUGUGCUAAUCAGCAGUGAAUUGACGGUACCUGCAAAGGAAGCACCGGCUAACUCCGUGCCAGCAGCCGCGGUAAUACGUAGGUGGCAAGCGUUGUCCGGAUUUACUGGGUGUAAAGGGCGUGCAGCCGGAGAGACAAGUCAGAUGUGAAAUCCACGGGCUCAACCCGUGAACUGCAUUUGAAACUGGUUUCCUUGAGUGUCGGAGAGGUAAUCGGAAUUCCUUGUGUAGCGGUUAAAUGCGUAGAUAGAAGGAAGAAAACCAGUGGCGAAGGCGGAUUAAUGGACGAUAACUGACGGUGAGGCGCGAAAGCGUGGGGAGCAAACAGGAUUAGAUACCCGUGUAGUC
RNAcentral lists this ribosomal RNA (465 nucleotides) under uncultured bacterium. Its description in RNAcentral is "partial 16S ribosomal RNA". It matches the Rfam family "Bacterial small subunit ribosomal RNA", at positions 338 to 795 of the family's 1533-position model. The record is from RNAcentral.